Molecule: ribosomal RNA, 739 nt
Filed under: uncultured Staphylococcus sp.
Lineage: Bacteria; Bacillati; Bacillota; Bacilli; Caryophanales; Staphylococcaceae
Description: bacterial SSU rRNA
Rfam family: Bacterial small subunit ribosomal RNA
Source: RNAcentral
AAGUCGAGCGAACGGACGAGAAGCUUGCUUCUCUGAUGUUAGCGGCGGACGGGUGAGUAACACGUGGAUAACCUACCUAUAAGACUGGGAUAACUUCGGGAAACCGGAGCUAAUACCGGAUAAUAUUUUGAACCGCAUGGUUCAAAAGUGAAAGACGGUCUUGCUGUCACUUAUAGAUGGAUCCGCGCUGCAUUAGCUAGUUGGUAAGGUAACGGCUUACCAAGGCAACGAUGCAUAGCCGACCUGAGAGGGUGAUCGGCCACACUGGAACUGAGACACGGUCCAGACUCCUACGGGAGGCAGCAGUAGGGAAUCUUCCGCAAUGGGCGAAAGCCUGACGGAGCAACGCCGCGUGAGUGAUGAAGGUCUUCGGAUCGUAAAACUCUGUUAUUAGGGAAGAACAUAUGUGUAAGUAACUGUGCACAUCUUGACGGUACCUAAUCAGAAAGCCACGGCUAACUACGUGCCAGCAGCCGCGGUAAUACGUAGGUGGCAAGCGUUAUCCGGAAUUAUUGGGCGUAAAGCGCGCGUAGGCGGUUUUUAAGUCUGAUGUGAAAGCCCACGGCUCAACCGUGGAGGGUCAUUGGAAACUGGAAAACUUGAGUGCAGAAGAGGAAAGUGGAAUUCCAUGUGUAGCGGUGAAAUGCGCAGAGAUAUGGAGGAACACCAGUGGCGAAGGCGACUUUCUGGUCUGUAACUGACGCUGAUGUGCGAAAGCGUGGGGAUCAAACAGGAUUAG